Molecule: ribosomal RNA, 492 nt
Filed under: uncultured bacterium
Lineage: Bacteria
Description: partial 16S ribosomal RNA
Rfam family: Bacterial small subunit ribosomal RNA
Source: RNAcentral
AGUGAACGCUGGCGGUAGGCCUAACACAUGCAAGUCGAACGGCAGCACAGUAAGAGCUUGCUCUUACGGGUGGCGAGUGGCGGACGGGUGAGGAAUACAUCGGAAUCUACUUUUUCGUGGGGGAUAACGUAGGGAAACUUACGCUAAUACCGCAUACGACCUACGGGUGAAAGCAGGGGAUCUUCGGACCUUUCGCGAUUGAAUGAGCCGAUGUCGGAUUAGCUAGUUGGCGGGGUAAAGGCCCACCAAGGCGACGAUCCGUAGCUGGUCUGAGAGGAUGAUCAGCCAAACUGGAACUGAGACACGGUCCAGACUCCUACGGGAGGCAGCAGUGGGGAAUAUUGGACAAUGGGCGCAAGCCUGAUCCAGCCAUACCGCGUGGGUGAAGAAGGCCUUCGGGUUGUAAAGCCCUUUUGUUGGGAAAGAAGAGCAGCAGGUUAAUACCCCGCUGUUCUGACGGUACCCAAAGAAUAAGCACCGGCUAACUUCGUG